This 255-nucleotide ribosomal RNA is filed under the name uncultured bacterium. RNAcentral's name for it is "partial 16S ribosomal RNA". It matches the Rfam family "Bacterial small subunit ribosomal RNA", at positions 99 to 354 of the family's 1533-position model. The record is from RNAcentral.
CGGACGGGUGAGUAACGCGUGGAAAACCUGCCGUAUACUGGGGGAUAACACUUAGAAAUAGGUGCUAAUACCGCAUAAGCGCACAGCUUCGCAUGAAGCGGUGUGAAAAACUCUGGUGGUAUACGAUGGUUCCGCGUCUGAUUAGCUAGUUGGUGGGGUAAUGGCCUACCAAGGCAACGAUCAGUAGCCGGCCUGAGAGGCUGAACGGCCACAUUGGGACUGAGACACGGCCCAAACUCCUACGGAAGGCAGCAG